This 436-nucleotide long non-coding RNA is filed under the name Mytilus galloprovincialis (Mediterranean mussel). The record is from RNAcentral. Lineage: Eukaryota; Metazoa; Mollusca; Bivalvia; Mytilida; Mytilidae.
AUUUUAUUUUCUGACAAUGUACAUAUUGUUUUUAUCCUGCAAUUUACACCUAGUACUUGAGCAUUAGUUGUAUAAAAUCAAAAUCAUUGCUUUUUUUAAAGAAAAAAAAUAUAUGGAUGUAUGCAAAAUAACAGAAAUAAAAUAUCUUGUUAUUGAAGAAAUUAUGAAACUCAUUUCCUACCCUCUCUGUUCCAUUUUAAAGAAAAGCCCUUAACAUAAGAACAUGCAUAAUCUCGCCCACUUCAUUGCUCCAUAUAUACACAUGUCCUUUACUUGUUAGUUAGCAUUCUGUCCAUAUCUGUAUCCAAUGAAUUUCUGCUAAUAUAGGCACACCUCCGUUUAUGGAGUAAAACAAUAAAAAUAGUUCCAGCACCACAAUAGUAUUGAAUAUCAAUCCAUCAAUAUAUUUACACUAUGAGCUUUAUGUACACAGUUC